This is a non-coding RNA of Lyophyllum atratum, 94 nucleotides long. The record is from the annotation of a GenBank genome assembly. Lineage: Eukaryota; Fungi; Basidiomycota; Agaricomycetes; Agaricales; Lyophyllaceae.
GCCGUGUUGGCGUAGUGGUAGCGCGUCUCACUCGUAUGAAGUCGUAUUGGAGGAUGCGAUGAGAAGGUCACUCGUUCAAUCCGGGUACGCGGCA